UUACCGAGUUUACAACUCCCAAACCCCUGUGAACAUACCAAUUGUUGCCUCGGCGGAUCAGCCCGCUCCCGGUAAAACGGGACGGCCCGCCAGAGGACCCCUAAACUCUGUUUCUAUAUGUAACUUCUGAGUAAAACCAUAAAUAAAUCAAAACUUUCAACAACGGAUCUCUUGGUUCUGGCAUCGAUGAAGAACGCAGCAAAAUGCGAUAAGUAAUGUGAAUUGCAGAAUUCAGUGAAUCAUCGAAUCUUUGAACGCACAUUGCGCCCGCCAGUAUUCUGGCGGGCAUGCCUGUUCGAGCGUCAUUUCAACCCUCAAGCCCUCGGGUUUGGUGUUGGGGAUCGGCGAGCCCUUGCGGCAAGCCGGCCCCGAAAUCUAGUGGCGGUCUCGCUGCAGCUUCCAUUGCGUAGUAGUAAAACCCUCGCAACUGGUACGCGGCGCGGCCAAGCCGUUAAACCCCCAACUUCUGAAUGUUGACCUCGGAUCAGGUAGGAAUACCCGCUGAACUUAAGCAUAUCAA
Molecule: ribosomal RNA, 520 nt
Filed under: Fusarium sp. JM-2
Lineage: Eukaryota; Fungi; Ascomycota; Sordariomycetes; Hypocreales; Nectriaceae
Description: eukaryotic LSU rRNA
Rfam family: 5.8S ribosomal RNA (bases 152-305)
Source: RNAcentral